Sus scrofa (pig) is the source of this 1068-nucleotide long non-coding RNA. RefSeq lists it as uncharacterized. The record is from RefSeq and is a predicted model, not a curated record. NCBI's taxonomy places the organism in Eukaryota, Metazoa, Chordata, Mammalia, Artiodactyla, Suidae.
GUGGGGGUAGUGGGGUGUUUUUUUCUUUCUCACACACGCACAGUCUCCCUCACUCUUUUUUUUUUUUUUUUGGCUCUCUGUUAUUAUUUUCUGGUAAUUUUCGAAUGUUUCUGUGAGUCUCUCCGCUCUCAGUGUUUUGAUUGCUGUGAGGCAAACCAGCGUGGAGGCGGCGGCGACACUUUGUUUACUACCGGGGAGCAGAACCGAGUACUCGGGAAGCCCGAGUGGAACGAGUCGCUCGCUUGCCCUCGACCUCCGCUCCGGGCCCAAAGCCGGGCGGGGCGGGGGCCGGAGACGCUGGGCGCUUCGGGGGCGCUGAGUGGGCGGGCGGAGGCGGCCUCGCGGAAUUCUGCUCAGUCGCCCCCUCUCGACUCCGCCCUCGACUCCUUUGCUGAGAAACGCGGGGAAGUCGGAGGAAUUAUGGAAGGCAUUUCCUUUCAAAGGGAUGGGCUCACUUAGGAUGGAAGAUUGACGAGUAGACACAGACUGACAAGACUGGGGGAGGAAGGAUGGAGAAGGAAGCAGAAUACCUCCACCUGGAUAGGGAAGCAAGCCACGUCUGUCCCUCCCUCAUCUCCAGCCAAGGCGUGUAAAAAGAGAGGAAGUAGGUUUUGAGAAUGGAUCAAUCUUUAAAGGAAAUUUAUGCUUUCGACUUUCACAAACAAUGAUAAUAGUAUGGAGGCAGAUUGCUGAAUAGCCAUUAUGAAAAACCAAAAUCCCUGAAAGGAAACACUCCAUGCCACAAGAGGUCAAGGGGCAGAAGGACUACUAGAAGGGUCAGGAAGUAAGGCACAGAGGCUGACUACUUGAGGCCUGGGAGGAGAGGAGACCCAGGUAGCUGGCUAACUGAGCAGUGUGGCUUCUUAUGCUUCCAUUGAAGAUGAUGGAUUGGUAUUGUAGGAUCCAUUCUUUAAAAAAGAAUUCUCAAUCCAAUGCUGUGUUGAAUUACCAGUGGUGAGAGUGGGGAUCCUUGUCUUGUUCCGGAUUUCCGUGGGAAGGCUUUUAGCUUUUCUCAGUUAUUAUAUUUGCUGUGGGUUUGUCAUAAAUGGCUUUUAUUGUGUUAAGGUA